GCGUAUCUUUCAAAUGUCUGCCCUAUCAAAUGUCGACGGGAGGGUCGUUUCCUCCCGUGUUGGCGACGGGUGACGGGGAAUCAGGGUUCGAUUCCGGAGAGGGAGCAUGAGAGUCGGCUACCACGUCCAAGGAAGGCAGCAGGCGCGCAAAUUACCCACUCCUGACACGGGGAGGUAGUGACGAAAACUAACGGUGCGGGACUCUGUCGAGGCUCCGCAACCGGAAUGAGCACACUUUAAAUCCUUGAGCGAGGAUCGAUUGGAGGGCAAGUCUGGUGCCAGCAGCCGCGGUAAACCAGCUUCCAAUAGCGUAUAUUAAAGUUGUUGCAGUUAUAAAAGCUCGUAGUUGGAUCUCGGGGCUGACUUGGUGGUGUCUCCAGCGAAUAUAUUCCCUGGCCCACUUGGUGUUGGCUGCCAGUCAGCCCCUCAGUCGGGUGGAGGGUAUGGGAAUGUUGCAACUUUUACCUCCGGUCCACCCAAUCGGGUAGCCCAGUUGGCCUUUUUUUGGCUGCCGAUGGACAGUCACUGGAAGCUGGGGCCAGGACCAGCGAUCAUUCCAGUGGCCCCGCCUGAAUUACUUUGAAAAAAUUAGAGUGUUCAAAGCAUGGCUGGGCAUUGCCUGAUCAAUAGUCGCUACGAUUCAUGGAAUAAUGGAAAGGGACCGCCGUCCCCGUUCUGUUGGUUCUCCGGGAGUGGAGGUAACGGUUAAGAGGGGCAGACGGGGCUACUCGUACUGCGGCGUGAGAGGUGAAAUUCUUGGACCGCCGCCGGACGCGCUGGGGCGAAAGCAUGUGGCAAGCAUGUUCUCAUUAAUCAAGAACGAAAGUCAGGGGAGCGAAGACGAUCAGAUACCGUCAUAGUCCCGACCCUAAACGAUGCCGACUGGUGAUCCGCCGGAGUUUCGUACCUAUGACCCGGCGGGCAGCCCUAGGGAAACCGAGUAAGUCUUUGGGUUCCGGGGGAAGUAUGGUUGCAAAGCUGAAACUUAAAGGAAUUGACGGAAGGGCACCACCAGGAGUGGAGCCUGCGGCUUAAUUUGACUCAACACGGGGAAUCUCACCCGGCCCGGACACCGUGAGGAUUGACAGAUUGAGAGCUCUUUCUUGAUUCGGUGGGUGGUGGUGCAUGGCCGUUAAAAGUUGGUGGAGCGAUCUGUCUGGUUAAUUCCGAUAACGAACGAGACUCCGGCCUUUAAAUAGUCCGUCCCCCCGGCGAGGGGUUUGGGGCGAAACCAAUUCGACUUCUUUGAGGGACUGGCGGCGCGGCAGCCGCACGAGACGGGGCGAUAACAGGUCUGUGAUGCCCUUAGAUGUUCGGGGCCGCACGCGCGCUACACUGAAAGAGUCAGAGGGUCGAGUCCUGGCCCUACCGGGCUGGGCAAUCCGUUGCCAACCUCUAUCGUGCUAGGGACUGGGGCUUGCAAUUGUCCCCACCAACGAGGAAUUCCCAGUAAGCGCGAGUCAUCAGCUUGUGUUGAACAAGUCCCUGCCCUUUGUACACACCGCCCGUCGCUACUACCGCUUGGAUGGUUUAGUGAGGCCUUCGGACGGGCCCUUCGGGGGUAACAUCCGCCGCCUAGUCCCUCCAACCUAGGAAAGCAGCCCCCGUGAGGCCCGGAAGGAGGUCGAACUUGAUCAUUUAGAGGAAGUAAAAGUCGUAACAAGGUUUCCGUAGGUGAACCU
This 1682-nucleotide ribosomal RNA is filed under the name Paraopisthosyllis alternocirra. RNAcentral describes it as "SSU rRNA". It matches the Rfam family "Eukaryotic small subunit ribosomal RNA", at positions 290 to 1816 of the family's 1831-position model. The record is from RNAcentral. Lineage: Eukaryota; Metazoa; Annelida; Polychaeta; Phyllodocida; Syllidae.